Molecule: ribosomal RNA, 466 nt
Filed under: uncultured bacterium
Lineage: Bacteria
Description: partial 16S ribosomal RNA
Rfam family: Bacterial small subunit ribosomal RNA
Source: RNAcentral
GAUGAACGCUGGCGGCGUGCUUAACACAUGCAAGUCGAACGAUGAAGCCCAGCUUGCUGGGUGGAUUAGUGGCGAACGGGUGAGUAACACGUGAGUAACCUGCCCUUAACUCUGGGAUAAGCCUGGGAAACUGGGUCUAAUACUGGAUAGGAGCGUCCACCGCAUGGUGGGUGUUGGAAAGAUUUAUCGGUUUUGGAUGGACUCGCGGCCUAUCAGCUUGUUGGUGAGGUAAUGGCUCACCAAGGCGACGACGGGUAGCCGGCCUGAGAGGGUGACCGGCCACACGGGGACUGAGACACGGCCCAGAGUCCUACGGGAGGCAGCAGGGGGGAAUAUUGCACAAUGGGCGCAAGCCUGAUGCAGCGACGCCGCGUGAGGGAUGACGGCCUUCGGGUUGUAAAACUCUUUCAGUAGGGAAGAAGCGAAAGUGACGGUACCUGCAGAAGAAGCACCGGCUAACUACGUG